AGUGAAUAGAUACCCCGGUAGUCCACGCUGUAAACGAUGGGUACUAGGUCAGGUGGGUAUUGACCCCUGCCGGACCGGAGCUAAACGCAAAUAAGUACCCCGCCUGGGAAGUACGGUCGCAAGACUAAAACUCAAAGGAAUUGACGGGGGCCCGCACAAGCGGUGGAUCAUGUGGUUUAAUUCGAAGCAACGCGAAGAACCUUACCUGGGUUUGACAUCCCUCGACAGUCGUAGAAAUACGAUCUUGUAGCAAUACAACGGGGAGACAGGUGCUGCAUGGCUGUCGUCAGCUCGUGUGGUGACAUGUUGGGUUAAGUCCCGCAACGAGCGCAACCCUUGUCCUUAGUUGCCAUCAUUAAGUUGGGCUCUCUAAGGAGACUGCCGUGGUUAACACGGAGGAAGGUGGGGAUGACGUCAAGUCCUCAUGGCCUUAUAUCCAGGGCGACACACGUGAUACAAUGGAUGGUACAGAGAGACGCGAAAGGGC
RNAcentral lists this ribosomal RNA (487 nucleotides) under uncultured bacterium. RNAcentral's name for it is "bacterial SSU rRNA". It matches the Rfam family "Bacterial small subunit ribosomal RNA", at positions 773 to 1258 of the family's 1533-position model. The record is from RNAcentral.